GAAGUCUGCUCCGAUUAAGAUGUGUUGGGGUAACGGCCCACCAAGCCAUUGAUCGAGUACGGGUGGUGGGAGCAAGAGCCCGAGAUUGAAUCUGAGACAUGAAUCCAGGGCCUACGGGGCGCAGCAGCGGCGAAAACUUUACAAAUGCGAGCAAUCGUGAUAAGGAAACCCUGAGUGCCUGUCAAUGCAGGCUGUUCUGGUGUUUAGUCCGCACCAGGAGAAAGGGCGGGGGCAAGACCGGUGCCAGCCGCCCGCGGUAAUACCGGCUGCUCGAGUGAUAGCCACUUUUACUGGGCUUAAAGCGUUCGUAGCUUGGUCGUUAAGUCUCUGGGGAAAUCUUCUGGCUUAACCAGAAGGCGUCUCAGAGAAACUGGCGACCUUGGGACCGGGAGAGGUAAGACGUACUUCGGGGGUAGGAGUGAAAUCUUGUAAUCCCCGAGGGACGACCGAUGGCGAAGGCAUCUUACCAGAACGGCUCCGACAGUGAGGGACGAAAGCUGGGGGAGCAAACCGGAUUAGAUACCCGGGUAGUCCCAGCCGUAAACGAUGUGCGUUAGGUGUGUCAGUGACCACGAGUCACUGAGGUGCCGAAGGGAAACCGUGAAACGCACCGCCUGGGAAGUACGGUCGCAAGGCUGAAACUUAAAGGAAUUGGC
RNAcentral lists this ribosomal RNA (656 nucleotides) under Methanocalculus sp. LA6. RNAcentral describes it as "bacterial SSU rRNA". It matches the Rfam family "Archaeal small subunit ribosomal RNA", at positions 210 to 869 of the family's 1478-position model. The record is from RNAcentral. Lineage: Archaea; Methanobacteriati; Methanobacteriota; Methanomicrobia; Methanomicrobiales; Methanocalculaceae.